ACUCCUACGGGAGGCAGCAGUGGGGAAUCUUGGACAAUGGGCGCAAGCCUGAUCCAGCCAUGCCGCGUGAGUGAUGAAGGCCCUAGGGUCGUAAAGCUCUUUCGCCAGGGAUGAUAAUGACAGUACCUGGUAAAGAAACCCCGGCUAACUCCGUGCCAGCAGCCGCGGUAAUACGGAGGGGGUUAGCGUUGUUCGGAAUUACUGGGGCGUAAAGCGCGCGUAGGCGGACUGGAAAGUUGGGGGUGAAAUCCCGGGGGCUCAACCCCGGAACUGCCUCCAAAACUCCCAGUCUUGAGUUCGAGAGAGGUGAGUGGAAUUCCGAGUGUAGAGGUGAAAUUCGUAGAUAUUCGGAGGAACACCAGUGGCGAAGGCGGCUCACUGGCUCGAUACUGACGCUGAGGUGCGAAAGUGUGGGGAGCAAACAGGAUUAGAUACCCUGGUAGGAUAGCG
Molecule: ribosomal RNA, 450 nt
Filed under: uncultured bacterium
Lineage: Bacteria
Description: bacterial SSU rRNA
Rfam family: Bacterial small subunit ribosomal RNA
Source: RNAcentral